RNAcentral lists this small RNA (120 nucleotides) under Providencia alcalifaciens PAL-2. RNAcentral's name for it is "RtT RNA". It matches the Rfam family "RtT RNA". Rfam says of the family: This family represents a bacterial cis-regulatory element known as RtT RNA. The exact function of RtT is unknown although it is thought that it may be involved in changing the cellular response in relation to amino acid starvation. Lineage: Bacteria; Pseudomonadati; Pseudomonadota; Gammaproteobacteria; Enterobacterales; Morganellaceae. The record is from RNAcentral.
GUUGAGUGCAGGUGAGAAGCUGCGUUCAGGUUCGAGCCGAGCGAAGCGAGACAGCGUUGCGCUUGCCGCAACGACCCGAAGGGCGAGGGCANAGCCCGAAUCAUCCUGCACGACCCACCA